RNAcentral lists this ribosomal RNA (489 nucleotides) under uncultured bacterium. Its description in RNAcentral is "partial 16S ribosomal RNA". It matches the Rfam family "Bacterial small subunit ribosomal RNA", at positions 30 to 507 of the family's 1533-position model. The record is from RNAcentral.
UUGCACGCUGGCGGCAUGCUUUACCCCUGCAAGUCGGACGGCAGCACAGAGAAGCUUGCUUCUUGGGUGGCGAGUGGCGAACGGGUGAGUAAUAUAUCGGAACGUACCGAGUAAUGGAGGAUAACUAAUCGAAAGAUUAGCUAAUACCGCAUAUUCUCUGAGGAGGAAAGCAGGGGACCUUCGGGCCUUGCGUUAUUCGAGCGGCCGAUAUCUGAUUAGCUAGUUGGUGGGGUAAAGGCCUACCAAGGCGACGAUCAGUAGCGGGUCUGAGAGGAUGAUCCGCCACACUGGGACUGAGACACGGCCCAGACUCCUACGGGAGGCAGCAGUGGGGAAUUUUGGACAAUGGGCGCAAGCCUGAUCCAGCCAUGCCGCGUGUCUGAAGAAGGCCUUCGGGUUGUAAAGGACUUUUGUCAGGGAAGAAAAGGCUGUUGCUAAUAUCAAUAGCUGAUGACGGUACCUGAAGAAUAAGCACCGGCUAACUACGUG